This 85-nucleotide transfer RNA is filed under the name Candidatus Parcubacteria bacterium. RNAcentral describes it as "tRNA-Leu". It matches the Rfam family "tRNA". Rfam says of the family: Transfer RNA (tRNA) molecules are approximately 80 nucleotides in length. Their secondary structure includes four short double-helical elements and three loops (D, anti-codon, and T loops). Lineage: Bacteria; Candidatus Parcubacteria. The record is from RNAcentral.
GCGCGGGUGGCGAAAUUGGUAGACGCACUACCUUGAGGUGGUAGCGCCGAAAGGCAUGGAGGUUCAAUUCCUCUCCCGCGCACCA